CCGCACUCAUCCCGGGUCUGCUCCCUGCGGUCCCGUGAGGCUGGCUCCCAGGAGACCCUUGUCAAACCGCGAGCCGUGUCGUGGUCAAGUGCAUGGAUGGCUGGGUCCGAACCACAGUUCUGCCUCACGUGGACUAUCCGAGGAGGAGAGGCUGGGAGCGCGGCUGGCCCGCCACGGACGGGAGGUACUGGUGGAAACGAACCAGGUUCUUCUCCAGUCGCGGAAAUGGCAGUGGAAAGGACCCGAUCAGCUAGGGCUCCUAGGUCACGGUCAGGAACCUACGAUUUUGUCCUAGGUGCUGGGGGCCUGGUGGGGGGCGGGAAAGGUAAGUGACGUCCCCUGGUUUAUAUCCGUGACCUGCCUCGGACAUGAACCUGCGGCGCUCUGUGUCUAAGCACGAAAACUCAAGGGCUUCCCAUGUCUUCAUCUAGAACAUGAGAAGAGAGUAUACCCAGACAUCUUUUGGAAGAUUUAUUGAUUUAUUUAUUUUACAGAGAGAGAGAGAGAGGGUACAUCUAAGCAGGGGAGGGGCCGAGGGAGAGAAUCUUCAAGGAGAGUCCCUGUUGAGUGUGGAGCCCGACGUGGGGCUGGGUUCCAUGACCCUGAGAUCAUGACCCACGCUGAAACCAAGAGCUGGGCACUCAACCGACGGAGCCACCCGGGCGUCCAGCCAGAUUUUUCUUAAUAUGCCUCACUUCCACAUCCUUGCCUCUUCUAUGGCUUCCUGGAGACCUCAGCAAACAAGGCCUGGACAAUCCUGAGGGCCCGGAGCAGAGGGAGACAGGGGUGGGAAGGAGCCCCUCCACCGAAGGCCCUUCCAGGAUGCUGGUCUUUCUCACUUUCCCAGGAAUGACACAGAACAUCCCUCCCUGCUCUUCCCGCCUCCUGGAUGGUCGACAGAAACCCCCUGAUGUCAGAAACCAUCUUUUGCCCAGAAGAGCCUCCCGAUUCCUCUCGAGAACCUGAUUCAUGCACAUCCUAGCAGGUUCCACUCAACACCUCCUGUUCCUACUUACUCCUGUCCACAGUGAUUUCUCUCUUCCCUGAAGUUCCAUAAGCCUCAGAGUGUCUAGUACCCAGCUGAGUAAAUGGCUUGCUCAUUGA
This is a long non-coding RNA of Mustela lutreola (European mink), 1104 nucleotides long. RefSeq lists it as uncharacterized. The transcript has 2 exons. NCBI's taxonomy places the organism in Eukaryota, Metazoa, Chordata, Mammalia, Carnivora, Mustelidae. The record is from RefSeq and is a predicted model, not a curated record.